Hydra vulgaris (swiftwater hydra) is the source of this 969-nucleotide non-coding RNA. The record is from RefSeq and is a predicted model, not a curated record. NCBI's taxonomy places the organism in Eukaryota, Metazoa, Cnidaria, Hydrozoa, Anthoathecata, Hydridae.
GGUUACCCAACAUUUUUAUGUAUUAUUUUGCUGACAAUAUUGCAUGAAAAUAUUGUCCCUGUUCUCACAUUAAUUUAAUGUCGAAGGAAUGUUGAGCCGGCUUUUUUUGUUAGUUUUUCUAUAUUUUACAUGCAUUUUCUAAGCACCUGCCAAAAAUCAACGAAAAAUAAUUGGUAGCAGAUAGUAUACUAGGUGUUAGACUUUUGGUACAUAAUUUUGGUUUUUCUGUUGUUGUUUUUCGUUAAGCUUGUUACGGGUGUGGAUAGGGGGGCCGACUAUACAAAAACAUAACAAAUCCCAAUAUCGUAUUAUUUUGAAUUUUAUUUUUAGAUUAAAAUAAAUAAUGAAUAACAGAGAUGUUGUUAGAUCUAUAACAGAUAAUCCUGCUGCACAUUAUGAAGCUUUUUUGAGAUAUCUUCAAUCUACCCAGCCUACCACAGCAACAUCUUCAUCUGCAAUUAGUGGGUGGAUACUCCAACCUGCAUCUUGUAAUGUGGUUGGAGAAGACUGAGAGGAAAGGGGGGAGGGGCGUUAAGCUUGGCAUCUUUCCGCCCCUAAUGUCAAUUUAUGCACCACGUAUAUUCUGUUAAGUAAAAAAAUAUAAUUUAAAGUCUUUAACACAAAAUAUAAUUAGUGUUUUUUAGGCUCAAAUAUUUAUAAGAUGGUAACAUUUCACUACAAGGGUGUUAAAACAGAACAAAUACAUCCACCCUUUAAUCUAAAAUAGACCAAUAAUAUUUGGAAAAGUAAUGGAAGCAAAUUAGAACAACUUUUUGUGUAUAAAGAUAACAAAUUUUAUCAGCAAAAUACUCUUUCGUGUGAAAAACUUGCAUUUUUUAAGGUUUCGAUGGUGUUUCGUUACCCCCUCUGGCCCUCUAGACACCCCUUUUAUCUAUAGAGCUAUAUGAACUUGUAGCCUACUAUUACAUCUAUCUUUUGAUACCAAGGUAUAGGCAUUUGGAUAAGAUU